RNAcentral lists this long non-coding RNA (562 nucleotides) under Capsicum annuum. Its description in RNAcentral is "long non-coding RNA (CANN_LNC005737)". The record is from RNAcentral. Lineage: Eukaryota; Viridiplantae; Streptophyta; Magnoliopsida; Solanales; Solanaceae.
CUAAUUUAAUAUUUUAACUAAUAAAACAUCUGAUACUUGACAAUCCCAUUUUCUUUUUCAUAGUGAAGCCAUGAGACAAAUAUGACAAAAAAUAAACAGCAACACAAAUAAACUAACGAUUCCAAAAAGGCUUUGUAAGGAAAUAGAAAAAUUACGGCCAGAUCUGGCAAUUGCUGGUCGGAGUCGGCUAGUGGAGAAACGGAGGGUGAAACCGAAGCCAUUUUUAAUGGUGGUGUCAGCCGGAGUAGGUGAUGAUUCCUGCGACGGUUUCAUCAUUUUGUCAGCGAGCAGCGAUGGAGAAAGGGGUGUGUCGGCGGCAUGGUGGGGAGAAUGGCGGCGCUAGCGGCUUCGCCGAUGGCUGCCAUCAGUGUUCUUGAUGACGGGAAGGGAGAGAAGAAAAGGGGUUUGCCAAAAAAUAGGAUUUUCUGCUCGGAUUUUGACCCAUUUUCCGGCGAGGAAAGCGGUAACACGGCUGGUUUUUGGAGUUUUUUGACUGUGAUGUGACCAGAGCAACCCGUUGGGUUGUUGCGCCACUGUUUUACACUUUUUUUUUUGUUUUCGA